CUUUAGUUGCCAGUAUUCAGUUAGGCACUCUAAAGAUACUGCCUCGGUUAACGGGGAGGAAGUGGGGACGACGUCAAGUCCUCAUGGCCUUUAUAUCCAGGGCUACACACGUGCUACAAUGGGUCGUACAAAGGGUCGCCACUCCGCGAGGAGGAGCUAAUCCCAAAAAGCGGCUCUCAGUUCGGAUCGGAGUCUGCAACUCGACUCCGUGAAGUUGGAAUCGCUAGUAAUCGUGGAUCAGCAUGCCACGGUGAAUACGUUCCCGGGCCUU
This 271-nucleotide ribosomal RNA is filed under the name uncultured Desulfarculaceae bacterium. Its description in RNAcentral is "partial 16S ribosomal RNA". It matches the Rfam family "Bacterial small subunit ribosomal RNA", at positions 1109 to 1382 of the family's 1533-position model. The record is from RNAcentral. Lineage: Bacteria; Pseudomonadati; Thermodesulfobacteriota; Desulfarculia; Desulfarculales; Desulfarculaceae.